GAUGAACGCUGACAGAAUGCUUAACACAUGCAAGUCAACUUGAACUUCGGUUUGGGUGGCGGACGGGUUAGUAACGCGUAAAGAACUUGCCUCUCAGAUAGGGACAACAUUUGGAAACGAAUGCUAAUACCUGAUAUUAUGAUUUUAGGGCAUCCUAGGAUUAUGAAAGUUAUAUGCGCUGGGAGGGAGCUUUGCGUCCCAUUAGCUAGUUGGAGAGGUAACGGCUCACCAAGGCGGUGAUGGGUAGCCGGCCUGAGAGGGUGGAUGGCCACAAGGGGACGGAGACACGGCCGGUACACACACGGGAGGGAGGAGUGGGGAGUGUUUAUUGAUGGACCAAGAGUAUGAUCAUGCAGUUAUGUGUCGACGAUGAAGUAUUUCGGAAUGUAAAGUACUUUCAGUUGGGAAGAAAAAAAUGACGGUACCGGCAGAAGAAGCGACGGCUAAAUACGUG
This 454-nucleotide ribosomal RNA is filed under the name uncultured bacterium. RNAcentral's name for it is "partial 16S ribosomal RNA". It matches the Rfam family "Bacterial small subunit ribosomal RNA", at positions 28 to 507 of the family's 1533-position model. The record is from RNAcentral.